Molecule: RNA transcript, 1082 nt
Organism: Cornus florida
Lineage: Eukaryota; Viridiplantae; Streptophyta; Magnoliopsida; Cornales; Cornaceae
Gene name: reticulon-like protein B11
Exons: 7
Source: RefSeq, a predicted model, not a curated record
AGUUACAAUUCGUUCAGAUUUUGAUUGUGUUCUGUGCCAAAACCACUAGUGUUGAAAAGAAAAUUUUCUCCAUUUUUAUGUGUUUUUUUAUGUUAAUGACUUCUGCCUUUUCAAAUCCGUUGUAGCGCAAAUUACCAUCUUAGCCCCCUUCAAACUCUCUCUCUCUCUCUCUCCCUAACCAGAAUCCAGAAACCCUAACCGGCAUGGGAGAAGAUCGUCGGAUUUACGUCCAUAAAUCUCUUGGCGGUGGUGCAGUUGCCGAUGUGUUGUUGUGGAAGAGACGGUGUGGAGCGGUUGUUCUGCUAGUCUCUGCCACCUCCCUGUGGUUCCUAUUUGAGAAAGCCGGCUACAACAUCCUAUCGUUCACCGCAAAUGUCAUAUUGCUUCUUGUUGCAAUCCUCUUCUUCUGGGCUAAAUCAGCUUCACUUCUCAAUAGACCUCUGCCUCCCAUUCCUGAUCUGGAAAUUUCUGAGGAAUCCAUUUUGAAGGCUGCUGACAUUCUCCAGGUGUGGACCAAUCAAGCAUUGUCGGUUGCACGUGACAUUUCAGUUGGUGGAAAUUUGAAACUUUUUUUGAAGGUUGUUUUUGGGUUGUGGUUUAUAUCUUACAUUGGUAGUUUCUUCAACUUCCUUACACUGCUCUACAUUGGGGUUCUUCUUAGUAUGUCAGUUCCUGUGUUGUAUCACAAAUACCAGGAUCAAGUUGAUGAAAAGUUGAUGGUAGCUCAUAAAACCAUUCACACACAGUACAGGAAAAUCGAUAACAAUAUCUUACAAAAGAUUCCAAUGGUCCGUAACAAGGAAAAGAAAGCUCAGUAGUCCAAGUUUCUUUUUGCUGGACACUCAUAAUCGAUAGCAACCAAGUCAUCAUGGGAAAUCAUCAGGAGGAGCUGGACUGGCCACUGUUUGCUUAUACAUUUUUGAAGAGUAUUGCAUAUUCCGUUGUAUUUUUUCUCGUCUUUGCUACUCAUACCUGAUGGAUAAAUUGGUUUAUUAUCCAUUGGAAAAGUUUCUUCCCUGAUGGAAUUAUGGAUUUGUUUGCUGGAAAUUUAACCAUAAAUAUACAACACCUUGUUAAACUAA